Molecule: ribosomal RNA, 489 nt
Filed under: uncultured organism
Description: SSU rRNA
Rfam family: Bacterial small subunit ribosomal RNA
Source: RNAcentral
AACGCUGGCGGCGUGCCUAACACAUGCAAGUCGAGCGGGACAUACGACGGACAGGAAGUUUUCGGAUGGAAUGGAAGAUGUAUGUUCUAGCGGCGGACGGGUGAGUAACGCGUGAGCAACCUGUCCCUUACAGGGGGAUAACACAGCGAAAGCUGUACUAAUACCGCAUAAGACCACAGAGAGACAUCUCACAGGGGUCAAAGGAGCAAUCCGGUGAAGGGUGGGCUCGCGUCCGAUUAGAUAGUUGGUGAGGUAACGGCCCACCAAGUCGACGAUCGGUAGCCGACCUGAGAGGGUGAUCGGCCACAUUGGGACUGAGACACGGCCCAGACUCCUACGGGAGGCAGCAGUGGGGAAUAUUGCACAAUGGGCGCAAGCCUGAUGCAGCAACGCCGCGUGAGGGAUGACGGUUUUCGGAUUGUAAACCUCUGUCUUUGGUGACGAAGAAGUGACGGUAGCCAAGGAGGAAGCCACGGCUAACUACGUGCC